UACGGAGGAUGCAAGCGGUAUCCGGAAUGAUUGGGCGUAAAGCGUCCGCAGGUGGCUAUGUAAGUCUGCUGUUAAAGAGUCUAGCUCAACUAGAUAAGAGCAGUGGAAACUACAUGGCUAGAGUGCGUUCGGGGCAGAGGGAAUUCCUGGUGUAGCGGUGAAAUGCGUAGAGAUCAGGAAGAACACCGGUGGCGAAGGCGCUCUGCUAGGCCGCAACUGACACUGAGGGACGAAAGCUAGGGGAGCGAAUGGG
RNAcentral lists this ribosomal RNA (253 nucleotides) under uncultured bacterium. RNAcentral describes it as "partial 16S ribosomal RNA". It matches the Rfam family "Bacterial small subunit ribosomal RNA", at positions 524 to 776 of the family's 1533-position model. The record is from RNAcentral.